Molecule: ribosomal RNA, 476 nt
Filed under: uncultured bacterium
Lineage: Bacteria
Description: partial 16S ribosomal RNA
Rfam family: Bacterial small subunit ribosomal RNA
Source: RNAcentral
GACGAACGCUGGCGGCGUGCUUAACACAUGCAAGUCGAACGGUAAGGCCUUCGGGUACACGAGUGGCGAACGGGUGAGUAACACGUGGGUGAUCUGCCCUGCACUUUGGGAUAAGCCUGGGAAACUGGGUCUAAUACCGAAUAGGACUACGGCCUGCGUGGGUUGUGGUGGAAAGCUUUUGCGGUGUGGGCUGGGCCCGCGGCCUAUCAGCUUGUUGGGGAGGUCACGGCUCACCAAGGCGACGACGGGUAGCCGGCCUGCGAGGGCGACCGGCCACACUGGGACUGAGAGUCGGCCCAGACUCCUACUGGAGGAAGCAGUGGGGAAUAUUGCACAAUGGGCGCAAGCCUGAUGCAGCGACGCCGCGUGAGGGAUGACGGCCUUCGGGUUGUAAACCUCUUUCAGUAGGGACGAAGCGCAAGUGACGGUACCUAUAGAAGAAGGACCGGCCAACUACGUGCCAGCAGCCGCAGUAA